GGAGCCCGUGUGUCGGGGGAGGGGGACCCCUGCAUCUAUUCCCUUGAGCGCACCCAUACGCAGCCCUCACCAGCACCCAGGGAAGCCGUGCCCCAGCGGCUCACAGCCCAGGCAGAGCCCAGUUGCUCAAGGCCUAGGGUAGCCCCACGGCAGCGCGGAGCAUCAUUCCCCCACCCACCUCUCAGCAGAGGGUGAGCGACAGAGGGACCCGGGCCGGGGGCUCCUCCCAGGACAGCACAGAGCCGUGCCGUGGCUGAGCCCCCUUCCCAUAACAGGGGAGCCCCAGCUCUUUUCUGGGGUCAGUCCCCGGCUGGCUGGGGCUGAUGGGCUCACUGGACUCGCCCCACACUGCCGGGAUGGGCAGCAGCCUGCAGCCGGAGAGGCUCCUGGGUCGCCGACGCGGGGCCGAAUCCUGAAGGCCCCGCCUCACUCCUGCAAGGGACGGUGUGACGAAGUGGGCCUGUUCUUAAUGUUUCCUCCGAAUAUUGUGGGGGUGCCUCAGUUUCCCCUAUGCAGUUCUUAAGUAUCUAGGUGGUGGGGUAAGGGUGUAUGAUCAUUGCAGAGCCCUAGAGGGCAGGUGUGUGCAGGGGUCUGGACACAGAGAAUGGCCAACACCCUGUUUCCUGGCAACUGAUGGCCUGGGCCCUUCCCCCCCUGCAAGGUGAGAGCUGAAGGGUUGGAGAACAAAGGAAUCAGGUGACCACCUGGCCCGGGAAAGGAACAAAGCCCAGAGGAGGAGGGGCUGGAGGGGGUUUUCAG
Caretta caretta (loggerhead turtle) is the source of this 759-nucleotide non-coding RNA. The record is from RefSeq and is a predicted model, not a curated record. Lineage: Eukaryota; Metazoa; Chordata; Testudines; Cheloniidae.